RNAcentral lists this ribosomal RNA (253 nucleotides) under uncultured bacterium. RNAcentral's name for it is "partial 16S ribosomal RNA". It matches the Rfam family "Bacterial small subunit ribosomal RNA", at positions 524 to 776 of the family's 1533-position model. The record is from RNAcentral.
UACAGAGGGUGCGAGCGUUAUUCGGAAUUACUGGGCGUAAAGCGUGCGUAGACGGUCAUGUAAGUCGGAUGUGAAAGCCCCGGGCUCAACCUGGGAAUUGCAUUCGAGACUGCAUGGCUUGGGUGCGGAAGAGGGAAGCGGAAUUUCCGGUGUAGCGGUGAAAUGCGUAGAUAUCGGAAGGAACACCAGUGGCGAAAGCGGCUUCCUGGUCCGACACCGACGUUCAGGCACGAAAGCGUGGGGAGCAAACAGG